RNAcentral lists this small RNA (179 nucleotides) under Camellia sinensis. RNAcentral's name for it is "transcribed RNA". Lineage: Eukaryota; Viridiplantae; Streptophyta; Magnoliopsida; Ericales; Theaceae. The record is from RNAcentral.
ACACUCACAUAAGAGGCCGAUGGAUGAAAAUAAAGUGCCUCGAAAUGCGUGCACACGGGCACGCAAACCAAGGCAAUGGCAUACGCAAUGCAAUAUGGCUAAUAUGGCAUAUAGAAUGCAACAAGGACUUAUACUAACAUGAGAGAGCCUCAGCCACACUCACAUAAGAGGCCGAUGGA